This 1280-nucleotide long non-coding RNA is filed under the name Equus caballus (horse). Its description in RNAcentral is "lncRNA (ENSECAG00000054335.1)". Lineage: Eukaryota; Metazoa; Chordata; Mammalia; Perissodactyla; Equidae. The record is from RNAcentral.
AGCAGCUGAGCCCUCGGUCAGUGGCGCUCCCUGUAGAAGGAAACAUGAGGCACAUUCUCACAGCCGCCAUAGUAACACAUUGCACACAUCCCACAUAGAAAGUUCAAAAACGGGCACAACGAAACACCAUUUGGUCUGUUGAUUUAUACAUAGGUACCAAGACACGAAGAUAAACACAAGAAUGACAAGCAAGCUCAGGAUGGGGUUUACUUGGUGGGGGAGAUUUCACCCCAUGGUUCAGCAUUGAGGCACUGCAGGUCUCCUUAAGCUGGACAGAGGGAUGCUGGCAUUCACUGAGCUGCACAUGGAUGUUGUACGCACUCUUUAGCGUGUGUGACGUAUCGCCCAGUAAUUUUUGUUGAAAAUACCUUUCGAUAUUUUCCUCUCCAUCUUUCUCCUCCCUCUCAUCAUUGUAGAAGACGCUGAGGGUGUCGCAUUCGUUUCUGCCACCUUCCUGUCAGGACUCACAGGUGGAAAGGAAUCGUCAAGGAUGGAUCAGCGUCCAUUGAUCAGAUUGGACUACGACUUUUCUGUCUAGAGGUAGGCAUCAUGGCAGUUCUGUCCAAGGUUAUUAAUAAAUGAAUAAGGAAACUUCCCAUAUAUUUCCUUGUUCUGUUUCUCGUACGUUUGAAUGAACCCAACCAAUAAAACUAUCUAUCUUGAUCCUCGCACCCUUUUUUAAGCAUAAAUUUUGGCAUCACUGGAAAUCAGUCCUUAGUUACUCUAUCUUUCAAGAUUUUCCACUUCUAAAGUGAAUUUUUUAGAAAUAUUCUUUGAAAUUAGUCCUUAUUUCAAGAUGCUCACAUUUAUUUUCUUAGCUACCCAGAAAGUUCUCUAUAGUCUUUUCUUUCUAUCUUCACCUAAAAAGAAUUAAAGAGAAAUUAGGUUAAUUUCUGUAUAAUUUCCAUAGUUUAUUGUCUUUUAAUUGUUAAUUUUUGGCUUAACAUUGUUCUUUCCUCCUGUUUUUCUUACAUUUCCCUUGCCUUUCCUUUCCUAACUUGGACUGACUCUUUGAUCAGUUUCACUCAUAUCUCAUUUCUACCAUUUAGUUUCAUUUUUGAGGCCACAGCUCUUUCUUUCAUCACUGCUUUCAAAGCACCUUUAUGUCUGAUAUGGAGAAUUCUCAUUUGCACUAUUUCCUAAGAUGUUUGAAAUCACACAUUCAAGCUGAGUUUUGUUGUUGUUUUUUUUUAGGAGAUUUCAAUUUUUCCCCAUGUGACACAAGUUUGUGAUCACAGAAAAUGGAGGAUAUAAUUUCUCCCAUUUGAAAUGUAUUAAGG